UACACAUGCAGUCGCACGAGAACGCUUCAGCUUGCUGAAGCUAGUAAAGUGGCGCACGGGUGAUUAACGCGUGGGUAAUCUACCUCCAAAUUGGGGAUAACAUUGCGAAAGCGAUGCUAAUACCGAAUGAUAUCUCAAAAACUUCGGUUUUUGAGAUCAAAGGUGGCCGCUCCAUGGAAGCUACUGUUUGGAGAUGAGCCCGCGUACCAUUAGCUUGUUGGUAGGGUAAUGGCCUACCAAGGCAACGAUGGUUAGCUGGUCUGAGAGGAUGAUCAGCCACACUGGAACUGACACACGGUCCAGACUCCUACGGGAGGCAGCAGUGAGGAAUUUUGCGCAAUGGGGGAAACCCUGACGCAGCAACGCCGCGUGAGUGAUGAAGGCCUUCGGGUCGUAAAGCUCUGUCAAGUGGGAAGAACCUGCCCUGUGCUAAUAUCACCGGGCACUGACGGUACCACUGAAAGAAGCACCGGCUAACUCCGUGCCAGCAGCCGCGGUAAUACGGAGGGUGCAAGCGUUAAUCGGAAUUACUGGGCGUAAAGCGCGCGUAGGCGGUUUGUUAAGUCAGAUGUGAAAGCCCCGGGCUCAACCUGGGAAUUGCAUUUGAUACUGGCAGGCUAGAGUAUGGUAGAGGGAAGUGGAAUUCCGGGUGUAGCGGUGAAAUGCGUAGAUAUCCGGAGGAACACCAGUGGCGAAGCGGCUUCCUGGACCAAUACUGACGCUGAGGUGCGAAAGCGUGCAGCAAACAGGAUUAGAUACUCCUGGUAGUCCACGCCGUAACGAUGUCACUAGCCGUUGGGCUCAUUAUAAGGGUUUAGUGGCGCAGCUAACGCGAUAAGUUACACAUGCAUACACAUGCAGGCCGCAA
Molecule: ribosomal RNA, 868 nt
Filed under: uncultured Desulfobacteraceae bacterium
Lineage: Bacteria; Pseudomonadati; Thermodesulfobacteriota; Desulfobacteria; Desulfobacterales; Desulfobacteraceae
Description: bacterial SSU rRNA
Rfam family: Bacterial small subunit ribosomal RNA
Source: RNAcentral